CUCUCUGGAGCAAAUAUAUCCAGCAAUGUGUUAUGGAUAGAUUGCAUGUGCUGGCUGAGGAGAUGGCAGAGCUGGUCUCAAUGGAGGCGCAGAGGCAGGGUUGCUGGGGCAUGCUCAAACAGGGGACUGGAGCACGGCUACUAUGCCCCACUUCUGGAUCGGUCCUCACUAGGGAUGACAUUAUUGCACCUGAUGGGUCUGUCCAGGCAUGCGAUACAGUCCAUGUGGACUCCUGCACAGGCCUCAUCCAUCCAAUCCCGAAUGCCCACAUGCUCCUAGCUAGUGGCCACAGCAUGCCCGUGGCCUCUGACUUCUUUGUGCAUCCUCAGACUGGCCGGCUGCUCCCAGUGGCAGGGAAUGUAGGAUUUGACUCCUCCAGCUCCACCCUUGUAUGCACAGCCGAUGCUUGUGUGGGUGAGGUUGGAAAAUGGGAGUCUCCUGUGCUUCCCUUCAUUCCCUACCCUUCAUCUCGCCACUCUGAGCUGCUAGGGCCAUCCAAGUUGAGAAGCCUCCAAACAGGCCAGAAGCUUGUAUUUGGAGGACCCAUGUGUGACUUUGAAACUGGCGUACUUGUCCCGAUCCUGGCAGUCACCAUCCACCCCCAGACGGGGAUGGUGUACCCGGUAGGUGGUGCUCAUGUGUGCCCUGUGACGCGACUCCGGCAGCCCAUUCAGAUUGGUUGUCCAAUGCUGGAUCCUCGCACGGGCAAUGUGGUACUCAUAACAGGUGUUAGUCUGGACUCGCAUACAGGUGCAGUGCUUCCAGUAGGAGGUCUCCUGCUGGGCGAAACCUUCAUCGAGCCCCUGAGUGGCAGGCUGGUGCGUGUAGGUGGCGGCAGCCUCCGGGGAGGAAAAGUGGUGCCACAUGCAGGGGGUUUCCAGGCUCUACUGGACAGCCAAGCUCUUGGUGCGCGGGUGGGGGUGGUGGAGCUGAUACGGGCCUACUGUGACGGGUGGAAAUCUGGGAGUCUGGACCUCAACAAUGAGAUUAGCAGAGUGAAGACAGCUGCCUCAGAUUUGGAGCAAGCCUGGAGGAACAGUCAGGACUGCACGCUUCAGCUGCUAAGUUGUCUGGAGGCUCAGCAGGAGUGGGCCUGGCGGGUGGCUGAAGAUGGGGGCAGUCUAGGUGAGAUCAGUCUGCCUGGCAUUGAGCUGUCCCUGCCCGCUCUGCCAGGACUGGAAUAUCCGGACCCUGGAGGUUCUGGCUUAUCAGUCCCUGUUCUUGGUGUGCAGCUGGAUUGGAUGUCAGGGUGUAUGGUGCCUCUUGCUGGAACAAUGGAAGAUGCAGAUGGCAAGGGGCUGGUUCCGAUCCGCUUUGGGGCACAGACUAUAGACCCUGUGACAGGGGUGGUGGCUCCGGUGGUAGGAGCUCGGCUAGACUUCUGGAAGAGGACUGUAGUCCCAGUGACCGUCUCUCAGUGCCUGACCAUAAGAGAAGCUCCAGACAUUGUGCUGGCGGAGGCCUUACAGAAGGAGUGCAGCAUGAGGGCCCAGUUCUGGAGACAGCAGAGAGUAAAGGAAGAAGAACUAGUGGCGGAUUUAGACAGAGCUCUGAGGGACUGCCUUUACACAGCAUUACAGGAAGAGCCAGAUCAUCUUGUGUGGACAGACACAGAUAAGCAAAUAAGGGAGACAGCAGCAGAACUUCAGGAGGAAGACUAUAAAGAGGCUCAAAGAAGAAAUGCUGUGAACUCGGAGCUGUCUCUCCUGCUGCCUGGACACAUCCUACUCACUCUUACUGGAGGUGAUGAAGAAGAGUGGAAGCAGCAGCGUCACUGGCAUGCUGAACUGACUGCAGUGUUGAAUAGAGUGAGUGUGUUUAUGGCAAGGCAGCAGUGGGAGCAAGGUCGGUCCACACCUCUGGGUGAUGAGCAAGCGACCUGCCAGUGAAGCAAGCGUUUGACAGGGACACAGGCUCUAGAGCAUGGACUGUGUCGGUCCCUGUAGCUAAAGAUGCCAAUCAGUCUUGCUGUGCAGCAGUUUCCACUCAACCCCUGAAAGAUCAUGAAAAGGCUUCAUCUGUGAGCGAGCUAAAUGGCUUGAAGGGUGUAUUGUCCAGUACAUCUCCUUCACACAGAGAACAGGAUGUAAGCCCUGCUCAAAGCCAGGAUCUCAAGGAGACGACAUUUCCCGUGCACAUGACAGUCCCCAAACUGUCAGGUGAGGACUGGGCCAGUUUGCUGGAGCUCUCGCCACUCUUCCGGCUUAUCCAAGAUGUGGAACAGCGGCUCAGAGACCAAGCAAAGAACGCCGGCCUGCUUAGCGGCUCAGGGUGCACCUUUAUCGAUUUCUUGGAUGCGCAGUGGGAUUGUGAGGGAGAGCUCGUCAAAGUCGGUGCUGACACUCUCAAUCCCCGCGAGUUUCUCAUCUACCAGCACGGCCAGCUUCUUCUCAAACUGCUACACACACACAGAGUGGCACCAGCAGUGAAAUUACACCUCGCCUCAAGACUUCCUACAAAUAACUACUGCUGCAAUUCCUUCCGUAAUUCCUUUUAUUACCAGGAGACGGAUAACAUUCUGUACGUGCGACAGCAGAGACUGCAGUCUGUAGGAGGUUUCUCUCUGCUGCUUAUACACUGUGCUGCUCACAUAUCCACUGGACAACUUACUGUUGACACAACUGUUGCCUUCCAAAGGGCUUUCUUUAAGGUCCUGCAAGUGUGUCUAAGUGAGUUGUUCCAUGCCAGAUUAGAGCCUGAUUCAGCUGAAGGAAAGAAGCAAAGCACUGACUCAACCCUUAAUAGCCUUGUGUCCGAGAGAGUGCAGAAAUGCGACCCAGGGACUUUGUCUGAGAACCUGAAUGAGGUGGCCAGGCUGCUAGAGAAGCACAAAGAAAGUUCAGUGUUCAGGAAAGUAGAAAGCCUGCUGAGAGAUAAGAACCUGGAGGUCAGCCCAAGUGACAGUGAGCCGCCAAUUAAACAUGGAGCAGAAGGCCAGGACGUUGCGCCAGAGUGAAGUGAUGAAUCGGUCUUGAAAUACGAGCACUGCUGCCUUUCACUGAAUAUGACAAGACCAACUAUCUCAUCCAAACUACUGUAAGCUGCUCCGUGGGAGACAGAUGGCAGCGUAGACGAUGGCUUUGCUUUGGAUUGAGGACGUUCGAGUAACUACAAAAAGAAGCACAUGGAACACACAUUAAACAACAUUAAGCAAAAAGGAAAAAUCCAAAUGAUGACAAACAAUAAUAAGGACAUGAAUGUAAUGCAAAUCAGUGUACAUUAUAACGUUAAGAUAAUUAUUCUGAGGUGGAUGGAAAACUACUAAAAUGCAAGAUCGUGUAGUCAGUUAUUAAACUAAGUAACAGUGAUUGGUAUACGUUUAAAAACGCUUGAAUAUCAAAUGUGCAAAUUAUGAAAGCUUUCAAUAUUUCAUAAUGCAAGGUCCUAUUUCAAAUGAGGUCAUUACAGGGAAAAAAAAAAAUAUAUAUAUAUAUAUAUAUAUAUA
Long non-coding RNA from Ictalurus punctatus (channel catfish), 3445 nucleotides. NCBI's taxonomy places the organism in Eukaryota, Metazoa, Chordata, Actinopteri, Siluriformes, Ictaluridae. The record is from Ensembl.